UUUUAGCCCGGAUUGCAGCAAUUGUCUGAGCUCAUUUUCUUUGUUUCGGCGCGGCAGCUUCGCUGCCGCGCCGAAACAAAGAAAAUAGCGAGUGCGAAAAGCCGGAAAAGCU
This 112-nucleotide unclassified non-coding RNA is filed under the name Chryseobacterium taeanense. Its description in RNAcentral is "Flavo-1 RNA". Lineage: Bacteria; Pseudomonadati; Bacteroidota; Flavobacteriia; Flavobacteriales; Weeksellaceae. The record is from RNAcentral.